AGAUUGAACGCUGGCGGCAGGCCUAACACAUGCAAGUCGAGCGGUAGAGAGGUGCUUGCAUCUCUUGAGAGCGGCGGACGGGUGAGUAAUGCCUAGGAAUCUGCCUAGUGGUGGGGGAUAACGUUCGGAAACGGACGCUAAUACCGCAUACGUCCUACGGGAGAAAGCGGGGGACCUUCGGGCCUCGCGCCAUUAGAUGAGCCUAGGUCGAUUAGCUAGUUGGUGAGGUAAUGGCUCACCAAGGCGACGAUCCGUAACUGGUCUGAGAGGAUGAUCAGUCACACUGGAACUGAGACACGGUCCAGACUCCUACGGGAGCAGCAGUGGGAAUAUUGGACAAUGGGCGAAAGCCUGAUCCAGCCAUGCCGCGUGUGUGAAGAAGGUCUUCGGAUUGAAAGCACUUUAAGUGGAGAAGGUUGUAACUUAAUACGUUGCAAUUUGACGUUACGACUAGAAUAGCAACCGGCUAACUUCGUGCCUAGCAGCCUA
RNAcentral lists this ribosomal RNA (489 nucleotides) under uncultured soil bacterium. RNAcentral's name for it is "bacterial SSU rRNA". It matches the Rfam family "Bacterial small subunit ribosomal RNA", at positions 26 to 519 of the family's 1533-position model. The record is from RNAcentral.